This 254-nucleotide ribosomal RNA is filed under the name uncultured bacterium. RNAcentral's name for it is "partial 16S ribosomal RNA". It matches the Rfam family "Bacterial small subunit ribosomal RNA", at positions 524 to 776 of the family's 1533-position model. The record is from RNAcentral.
UACGUAGGGUGCGAGCGUUGUCCGGAUUUAUUGGGCGUAAAGAGCUCGUAGGCGGCUUUGUAAGCCGGGUGUGAAAACCCCAGGCUCAACCUGGGGACGCCACUCGAUACUGCAAUAGCUAGAGUUUGGUAGGGGAUCACGGAAUUCCUGGUGUAGCGGUGAAAUGCGCAGAUAUCAGGAGGAACACCGGUGGCGAAGGCGGUGAUCUGGGCCAAUACUGACGCUGAGGAGCGAAAGCGUGGGGAGCAAACAGG